Molecule: long non-coding RNA, 503 nt
Filed under: Papio anubis (olive baboon)
Lineage: Eukaryota; Metazoa; Chordata; Mammalia; Primates; Cercopithecidae
Description: lncRNA (ENSPANG00000046644.1)
Source: RNAcentral
GGCUUGAUGGAGCUGGUUAUUUGUAUUUGCGGAACUAAGUGGAGUGCCCUCUACAGUUCUCAGUUAGCAGAACAGUAGCUCGGCCAGCGUCCUCCUUCCUCCCUAGCCCCAUCUAGAGAAACAGGCUGCUGGCUGGUUGUAAAUCAAAGCUUGGGUCUAUGUGAAUGCGACUUGGUGGAUGAAGUUCGGUGUCCUGGUUCCAGCCUGUGCCUUGGGGAAAUAGAGUGUUUUCACCAAGAGAAUGUCUGGUUGAGUGAAGAGAUCAUGGGCAUCAGUUGAACUCUGCCUGCUGUACAAGUGAGGAGGAGGCGAUGAAUACAUUUCAGAGCAACACCAAGGUCACAUCUAUGACAUCAACAGCAGAAUGUCCAGAAGAGGAAACUGAGGCACAGAGGGUUGAGCGGCUUACAGGAGAUUCUGUGACCUCAUUCCUUAUUCCAAACACCACUGAGACUCACGCCACAUUUGGAGUACCAAGAACGCAGGACACACACAGCGACGCG